This 497-nucleotide ribosomal RNA is filed under the name uncultured bacterium. RNAcentral describes it as "partial 16S ribosomal RNA". It matches the Rfam family "Bacterial small subunit ribosomal RNA", at positions 28 to 507 of the family's 1533-position model. The record is from RNAcentral.
GACGAACGCUGGCGGCGUGCCUAAUACAUGCAAGUAGAACGCUGAAGAGAGGAGCUUGCUCUUCUUGGAUGAGUUGCGAACGGGUGAGUAACGCGUAGGUAACCUGCCUUGUAGCGGGGGAUAACUAUUGGAAACGAUAGCUAAUACCGCAUAACAAUGGAUGACACAUGUCAUUUAUUUGAAAGGGGCAUUUGCUCCACUACAAGAUGGACCUGCGUUGUAUUAGCUAGUAGGUGAGGUAAUGGCUCACCUAGGCGACGGUACAUAGCCGACCUGAGAGGGUGAUCGGCCACACUGGGACUGAGACACGGCCCAGACUCCUACGGGAGGCAGCAGUAGGGAAUCUUCGGCAAUGGGGGCAACCCUGACCGAGCAACGCCGCGGGAGGGAAGAAGGUUUUCGGAUCGUAAAGAUCUGUUGUAAGUCAAGAACGGGUGUGAGAGUGGAAAGUUCACACUGUGACGGUAGCUUACCAGAAAGGGACGGCUAACUACGUG